CCAAUAGCGUAUAUUAAAGUUGCUGCAGUUAAAAAGCUCGUAGUUGAAUUUCGGGAUCAAUAUGUUGGUCGUGCCUCGGUACGUACUAGCUUAUUGGUUUCUCCCUUCUGACGAACCAUGAUGUCAUUUAUUUGGUGUUAUGAGGAAUCAGGACUGUUACUUUGAAAAAAUUAGAGUGUUUAAAGCAGGCUCACGCUUGAAUACAUUAGCAUGGAAUAAUGAAAUAGGACGUUUGAUUCUAUUUUGUUGGUUUCUAGGAUCGACGUAAUGAUUAAUAGGGAUAGUUGGGGGCAUUAGUAUUCAAUUGUCAGAGGUGAAAUUCUUGGAUUUAUUGAAGACUAACUACUGCGAAAGCAUUUGCCAAGGAUGUUUUCAUUAAUCAAGAACGAAAGUUAGGGGAUCGAAGACGAUCAGAUACCGUCGUAGUCUUAACCAUAAACUAUGCCGACUAGGGAUCGGAUGAUGUUAAUUUUUAAUGACUCAUUCGGCGCCUUACG
Molecule: ribosomal RNA, 497 nt
Filed under: uncultured Glomeromycotina
Lineage: Eukaryota; Fungi; Glomeromycota
Description: partial small subunit ribosomal RNA
Rfam family: Eukaryotic small subunit ribosomal RNA
Source: RNAcentral